GCCGGGGUGGCCGAGCGGACCAAGGCGAUGGCCUGGAGAGCCAUUACCCCUCUGGGGUGCCCGGGUUCGAAUCCCGGCCCCGGCGCCA
Molecule: transfer RNA, 88 nt
Filed under: Thermofilum sp. NZ13
Lineage: Archaea; Thermoproteati; Thermoproteota; Thermoprotei; Thermofilales; Thermofilaceae
Also listed under: 2 other names
Description: tRNA-Ser
Rfam family: tRNA
About the family: Transfer RNA (tRNA) molecules are approximately 80 nucleotides in length. Their secondary structure includes four short double-helical elements and three loops (D, anti-codon, and T loops). Further hydrogen bonds mediate the characteristic L-shaped molecular structure. tRNAs have two regions of fundamental functional importance: the anti-codon, which is responsible for specific mRNA codon recognition, and the 3' end, to which the tRNAs corresponding amino acid is attached (by aminoacyl-tRNA synthetases). tRNAs cope with the degeneracy of the genetic code in two manners: having more than one tRNA (with a specific anti-codon) for a particular amino acid; and 'wobble' base-pairing, i.e. permitting non-standard base-pairing at the 3rd anti-codon position.
Source: RNAcentral